CGCUGCCCGGCGUGGUGUCGCUCAGCCCGGCCUACCGCGCCGGGAGCGACCUGGCGGGCGAGGAGGUCACGCUGCUGGCGGUGG
Molecule: transfer RNA, 84 nt
Filed under: Streptosporangium nondiastaticum
Lineage: Bacteria; Bacillati; Actinomycetota; Actinomycetes; Streptosporangiales; Streptosporangiaceae
Also listed under: 2 other names
Description: tRNA-Gly
Source: RNAcentral